RNAcentral lists this unclassified non-coding RNA (633 nucleotides) under uncultured Frankia sp. RNAcentral's name for it is "partial contains 16S ribosomal RNA, 16S-23S ribosomal RNA intergenic spacer, and 23S ribosomal RNA". The stretch from base 29 to 166 matches the Rfam family "Bacterial small subunit ribosomal RNA", at positions 1042 to 1197 of the family's 1533-position model. Lineage: Bacteria; Bacillati; Actinomycetota; Actinomycetes; Frankiales; Frankiaceae. The record is from RNAcentral.
GGGGUCCGUAAGGGUCCUGCACAGGUGGUGCAUGGCUGUCGUCAGCUCGUGUCGUGAGAUGUUGGGUUAAGUCCCGCAACGAGCGCAACCCUCGUCCUAUGUUGCCAGCGAGUAAUGUCGGGGACAUCCCCACCUUCCUCCGAGUUGACCCCGGCAGUCUCCUAUGAGUGGGCUGGUCCAGGGCCAGGACCGGAUGUGUAGGCCGGUCUGGUUGCUCGAGGGUGUGGAACACUGAUGAUUUGGCUGCCGGUUCUGUCUGGCUUCUAUGUGUUCUUGAGACCGUGUUUAAUGUUUUUCAAUGAUUAAGGAUUGAAUGUUAGGGAUGAUUUUAAUUUGAGAGAUAUUUCAUGUUGACAAGUUUUUAAUUCAUUAUCAUUUUUGUUUAUAUCAAAUGCUUACUUUUUGUUUGAUUUGUUAUGAGGGUCAGCUGUCAACCAAGCUGUAAUCCGAGGAUGGGGUCCGUAAGGGUCUCUCCUUGCAUCCAAACGGGUGCGACUCAGACGGCCGGACGGUAAGGUUACAUGUCCGGACUCGAGUGGCUCAGACAGCCGGACGGUAAGGUUACAUGUCCGGACGAGCGCGGUCUGUUGCAUGCUUAUGUGGCAACGUGCGUCCGAAUGGGGAAACCCGGAA